Non-coding RNA from Xylariaceae sp. FL1019, 93 nucleotides. The record is from the annotation of a GenBank genome assembly. NCBI's taxonomy places the organism in Eukaryota, Fungi, Ascomycota, Sordariomycetes, Xylariales, Xylariaceae.
GGCAACGUGACGGAGUGGUUAACGUGAUUGACUAGAAUUUCUCUAGCUUAUCAAUUUCCUUCGGGAGCGUCUGUUCGAAUCAGGCCGUUGUCG